Molecule: long non-coding RNA, 536 nt
Organism: Chenopodium quinoa (quinoa)
Lineage: Eukaryota; Viridiplantae; Streptophyta; Magnoliopsida; Caryophyllales; Amaranthaceae
Exons: 2
Source: RefSeq, a predicted model, not a curated record
ACUUCAUAAUUAACCAAUCAAUUAAUACUCUUAAUCAAAUUAAACCCUCUUUUGCUAGAGUUGGAAAGCUAAGUUUUCAAGGAAUGAAGCCAAUUGCAGCCUUUCUUCUUAUUUUCUUGCUUGCCUUGACAUUAGAGGGGGUGGGUCCAAGAGUGGCAGAAGGAUUCUUGUUUAGAAAGAAAUGCAAUAUUCCAAGUGUAAGGUACAAAGGGCCAUGCGCAACUGACUCCGACUGUAACGCCGUUUGCAAAUCGGAGGGAAUGAAAUCUGGAGAUUGCCAUGGCAUUCGUAGAAGAUGCCUUUGUUGUCGUCGUUAGACUAAGUACUCUCCCCGUCCCGAAAUUAAUAGUCAUUAAUGUAACUAGUAAAACCACAUCAAUGAAGCUUAGAGGGAGUACGACUAUCUAUCUAUAUAUCUAGCUAGCUCCAUGUACUACCAUUGUAACUUUAUGUAUGUUUCACUACCAAAACAGUAUCUUUUCUAUGUAAUUAUCUUAAAUCAAUUCAAUCUAAAUAAAGCUCGAAAUUCAAGUCAA